GUAUCCGUUAACAACUUAGACUUCAGAUCAAGUUUUCUUCCCACAAGUUUAGGUUUAGAGCAAGCUUUAAACUAUAACAGUUACGUCUAAACUUGAGAGAGAACUCAAAUUUGAAAAUUAGGCAGAGCAACUAUUCAUCAUAUCCAUGCUAGAGUUUUAUUUAGAUUCAGUUUACCAUAGCCACUUUAUUUAUUUAUUAAACACACUAAGGAAAAGACAUAUAUAUAUAAGUACAAAAUCUUUAUUUGGUUUUUCAUAGCUAUGUAUAUUUAUAUUUUAAUAUAGUAUAGGUAUAAAGAUAGAUUGAAAUACUUAGCGAGAUAAAUGGGGGUGCUCUCCCCCAAGCUGAAUUUUGUUGUAAUUUCUUCUGAUGUAGCUAGCAGGUGGCAGAGGUGUAUUUGAAAGUCGGCAGUAUCCUGACAGAGAUUAGAAUGUCCUCCGUCUGCUAGUCUUCUUGGUUCUUGAAUUCUGUGGAGCUCAAAUAGACAACAAAGCUUUGUGGAACUGAUUAGGUGUUAGCAUAAAUAUCUAGCCUUUAUCAUAUUGAGCCUCCUUAAUAAAUAUUAAUCUCUAUUUUUAUAUUUUUCGUUUUAUAAAGUAGAAAAGAAAUAUUUAUUUUAUUUUUAUGUCACCAUAGUGAAUGUACUUAUGGGUUUCAUGCCACUCGUAUACUCACAUGGGGCUUUAACAUUUUUUUUAGGAUAGUAUGAACAUAAUUAACUAAGUGAACUAUUUAAAAUAAUUGAAAGGGAAAUGAUAACUACCAAGUUUACCUCUUGGCAAGGCGUUCGGUGUUUUUAAGUCCUCCGAACGGGACUCUCCGUUUUCUUCAGUUCUCCUGGGGUUCGUUGGGUGGCGUAGUCGGUGCUUCUGGCGGCGCCUCUUCUUCGUGUAUAGUUAUCUUCUCUCUCCACACCUGACUCGGUGCUACGGUCUUCUCAGGAUAAUUCUGUUUAAACUGUAUGUCCUCAGAUCUUAUCACUUCUCCUUCAUAGUCUGCCCAUCCGUCCUUGAUGAUUUGCCUCUUCUGGUUGUGGUUGCGUCGUCCUCUGACCUGCUUAGAGUCUUCAACGAUAUAGUUAGGGUCAAUAAAAUAGCGGCGUACCUUCUCUGAGGGGAAGUGCAUAUGGACUUCUCCAGUUCCAAUGUAGAUGAUUGCUUUAACGGUGAUGAGGAAUGGUCUUCCAAGGAUGAUGGGUGGAUCGUAUUCGUCUUCGCCUAUGUCAAUAACCUGAAAGUCUGUGUAGUCAAAAUGAUCGUCUAUUUUGACUGGGACAUCAGUUACUGUACCUUUAACCUCUCGAAAUGUCUGAUCUGCCAUCUGGAGCUGAAUGUAUGUUGGUUUUAGGGGCAUGGUUCCGAACAAGAGCCAAUAGGUGACUGCGGCCAUUAUGUUGAUGCCCGAUCCGGUGUCGCAAAACGUCUUGUAGAAGUUGUAUCCAUUUAUGGAGCAAUAGAUGCUUGGCAUUCCUGGGUCGUCCUUCUUGGUCAGAAACGGUGACUUUAGUCGAUGAUCUUGACCUUCAUGAACUGCAGUGACCAUCUUAGCUGACUCGGUCCACACUUGCUUGUUCCUGUUCCUCCUGUUGGUCCUCUUCCUUGGUUCAUGUCUAGAUUGCUCUGGGAUUUGUGUAGUCUUGUUCUUGAAGGAAAACGUCUCCUUCCUUCCCUUGAUGUAGAAACUGAUCUUGGCAGCACUAGCGUAGAUGACAGCUCCCAAAGUGUUUAAGAAUGGCCUCCCUAAGAUGAUGGGUGCCCUCUCAUCAUUAUCGGUCUCUAUCACCACGAAGUCUGCUGGGGCAUACAAGGUACCAAGUCGAACACAAAGGUUCUUCAAUAUUCCCUUGGGGAAACUUAAUGCCUGAUCUGCAAACUGCAAACACAUGGUUAUUUCUAAUAAAGGAUAUGUAAAGAAUUUUUCAUAGAGUACCCUGGGCAUAAUGUUGACGCUGGAUCCAAAGUCGCAGAGUGCUUCUGGGAAGUCCACCAUGCCGAUGGAGAUCGGGAUGACAGGGUGUCCUGGAUCGCCUCUCUUGACCGGCAGAAGGUCAGUAGUAACUUCAGUGACGAGGUUACUCCAAUUACCUGCAUCAAACAUGUCUACAAGAUUUGCAGAUUCUAAUCCUUCCGGUUGUGUUGGUAUACCGGGGUUAGUAGUAGGAACAACAACAGCUAUUUGAUUUAACUGAGAUUCAAUCAUUUUAUUAAAGCUAAUUUGAUUCUUGAUGGCAGUAGAGAAAUUAUCCAUUCUAUUAUUUAUAUUUUCUAGCAUUUUAUCAUUAGAUGUCAAUUUCUUAGAUAAAUUAUCCAUUGGCUUUCGUUGAUUAGACACUAACUCUCUCAGAGGUGGAAAUUUAUUAGUAUUAUUGUAAGAAUUAUUACCUUGAUAAUUACCUGAGUAGUUAGGCCUCUGUUGAUUCCAACCUUGAUUUUGUUGAGGACGGUUGUAGUAGUAGUAGUAGUAGUUGUUGUUGUUGUUGUUGUUGUUGAUGUAGUUCACAUCCUCAAGCAUCUCAAGACAGUGACUGCCUGAGUGUCCAGUAUCUCCACACUCCUCACAAGUCAUGUGAGAGUCGUAGAUGUGCAUAACUUCUUUCUUAUCUCCAGCUCUAUCAUCGAGCUUCUUCAUGAGCAGGUCUAGCUUUGCAGACAGCAUGUCUACCUCCUUGAGCUGAUGCAUACCUCCACCUUUCUUGCGCGUCUGGGUCCUCUCUUCAUUCCAGCCUUGAUUGGACGCCAUCUUCUCCACAAGAGCUGUGGCUUGUGGUAUGGUGAGUGAUAGGAAUGCUCCUCCAGCUGCAUCAUCCAUGGUCUCUCGGGCACUGUUGCCGAGCCCAUGAUAAAACGUCUGCAUUAGUAGCCAGCUCUCCAUUCCAUGAUGGGGACAUUCUAGGAUGUAGUCUUGGAAGCGCUCCCAUGCUUCUAGAACGGAUUCAUCAUGUUAUUGCUAAAAACUUGUAAUCUUCCCAUGGAGAGCAUUGGUCUUGCCCAUGGGAAAGAACUUAGCCAGAAAGUUCGUGGAGCAGAGUGCCCACGUAGUAUUCUUCUCCUUUGUAGCGUAGAACCACUGCUUCACUCUCCCUAAUAGUGAGAAUGGGAAGAGGCGAAGUAGUAUAGCAUCUCUAGGGACUCCUGAUAUGGUAAAUGUGCUGCAAAUCUGCAGAAAGUGUUGGAGAUGAGCACUAGCAUCUUCGUAUGCCUUCCCACUGAACUGGUUGCAUUGCACCAUGUUGAUAAGUCCAGGCUUGAGCUCUAAGUUGCCAUCGAUCUCUGCAGCAGGUCCAGUGCGGAUGUUGUCCAUAGUGGGAGCUGAGAACUCACGGAUCGAUUUGUUCGCCAUGGCUUCGAACUCUGAAGACAAGUUCCGGUCAUCUUCUUGAUUGGAUGAAGCUUCGUGCUGAAGUGUUGAUGAUCUCUUCUUGAGCUUGGCUCUUGUUUUUCUGAAUAACGCUUCGGGAUUAUCAACAAAAUUUCCUGGAAGAUGUCUUCUAUUCAUACAUUACCGUGCAUAAGAUAAAAUAGGAAAAUAUCGGGGUAAAACUGUAUGAGAGAGUUGAUAAGCUCAAUCAUAUUAGUGAUGCGAAUGAUGACUCAAAAUCCUAUAUCCAUUCCUGAUUAGUAAUCAACCUUCCCUGGCAACGGCGCCAAAAAUGCUUGUUGGGUAUUCUUAACGUCUGUUGAUAUUUGGUAACGCAAUUAGACAAUGAUCCGCAAGCGCACGGAUAUCGGUGAGCAUUUCACCCGGGAGGUUUUCCAGAGUAUCGUAUUUAUAUUUUUACCACUGGGAGAAAGGGUGCAUCUGACUAACCAAAUCUAUUGCUACUAUCCCUUUAGGCUACAAAGAAUGUCUCUCGAUGUGAGUGAUGUAUAGAGAAGACUGCAACCGUAGUCUCGUUCUAACCUUAGUAAGGAUGAUCUACUGUUCUAUUGGGGAGGCUCACGGAAUCUAGACAACACAAAGGAUGUUCGACCCGCACCUAUAAACCUACCCGUCCUGCUAACGAGAUGUGAUCUGCAAAGGUAACUCGGAAAUGUCACGUUCCUCGCUACUACCACGGUCCAGCUAGUCAGGGGAUAUCUAUGAGUACCCUAGCCUAAACACCACGUUUACGCUAACAAGUGAUUACUCUAAUACUCAACCGGAAGAGGAUUAAAGUAAACUCAUAAACCAAAGAACAAUAAAACAAGAACUUACUAGUAUUAGAAGUCGAAUUACUGAAGAAUCUUAGAAGCAAGCCUCGGGUUAGGAGACUUGAUCCCGCAGGUACAACUCGGAGUAGACACCGACAGGCCGGCCUUCCUCCGAUCUACACCUCCACUCUAUCUCUCUCAAUCUAGUAGAAACUAGAAGAUCUAUUUCUACCUUACAUUGGUUGCUAAGCCUAAAAAGAAAUAUUAUUUAGAGAAGAGGUUUUCCUUCGAGGGCACCCCUCAAUCUCUAUGAUAAUUUCUUGUCUCCUCCAGGGGCCAGAGGGGGUCUCCUUAUAUAGUCCUCCCCUUCUAUGCGUUUUUGGGUCAAUAGGCGAGGUGGUACUAUGUUAUUCUGGAUCCAAUAGGUCAGUGGAACGUCGUGUGCGAAGAGAGUCCGGAACGGAGUCCAGAGGGGGGCGGGCGCCCAGGUCCUCAGGGCGGGCGCCCUGGGCCUGGCCCCUUUCGGGCUCCGCUUCCUUCCCGUGGCUUCUGGAGUCUUCUAGAUGGUAGAAAAUUGCGCGGUGGGUUGAUAUCUCUAUGUAAUCCCGACAUGUGGGCCUUUCUUCCUUAUUUCCUCAUAACCCCCUGCAGAAAUAGACAAACACCAAAACUCGUGGAAUUCUGUCAGAUAAAACCCUAAGUCUAGAUGUUGAUUUCAUUUGGAUCCUUUUCUUUGUUUAUUUGAUAAUUAAAUUUGAUACUUAAGGACCGUCAACAAACUCCCCCAAGCUUACCUCUUGCUCGUCCCUGAGCAAGGAUGAACUCAAGAGUUUCUGCAGUGGUUUCAUUUCUUAGAAGUACACACGCAUUCAAGCAAGAUCUCAUCUCUGAGUUAGAAUAAACUGUUAAGACUUAAAACUUACUUACUUUACCUACACCAUAGGACUUGUAACCGUCACUUCUGUCUUGAGUGGUUAAAAGAUAGAACAGUCUAGCCAAGUGCCAUGUUUCUUAUUCUUGAUCAGCUAUAGCUCUGGGGUUUUUGCAGAUUUUCAAAUAAAACUCAGAAAUUCCUUGUAUGAUUCUCUCUGGUCUCUCUUUUGUGGUAUUUUUGGAUCCUUACCAAGGCAGUGAUGGUAUAUGCCUUCUCUCAAGAUAUGUAGUAUUUGUGGUAUGAAGCAUAGUGACAUUGUCUUCUCUCUCACCCUACUCUAAUAAGGCUUUAAUAUCUGAAGCUCAUAGGUGGGAGAUAAAGUAUACAUACUUACAAGACAUUUAUUGCAUAGUCAAACCAUGGAUCCAAAGAAACAAAUCAAUAAGCCAAAUCAAGAUGUGCAUGUGUGGCGAAUGAAUGGUGUAUGUUGAUGAUGGUGAUAACAAUGGUGAAAACAAUGGAGGUGGAAGUCUAAUUCUACUUUGCUCUUUGAGGGGAUACAUACCUUCCUUGCUUUUUGAAACUUUAUGAGGAGAAUGAGAUGCUCAUGUUUUUCUUUUCUCUCAGGUGGGUAUCUUGUACCCCUAAUUUCUAAUGUCGGACACUUGUCCAUUUUUACCUCUCGUCUCACUUUUUCUUUUCUUUCGAGGUUCCGAGCACUUGCUCCUUUUUAUUUCCUCGUAUCUCUCUUUUUUUCAGAGCAUUCAUCUCUUGAGAUAAUAUAGUAAGUGGUAGUAACAAGAUAACUUGAGCAUUUAUUUCACAAGGGAAAAACAGAAAUAUUUUUGGUUAUUCUCUCCCGGAUUAGGAGUAGAAUACUAUUGGGUGGUUUUGGAGAUGGAAAUGAGUGGAUAUAUGUGGAUGGUACUUCCGGAGUAGAAGUAGCAUGUAUGAGUGAACGUGCAAGUGAAUCUUGAUUUAACCACAUGACAAGCUCCUAAGGGUCUACACAGCUUGACCACACUCAAUGCUCAUAAGCAGUAAAUAGUAAAUGUGUGGCUCAAGGUCUAGCAAGCAUGUAUAUAUGGCUGUGGUAGGAAUUUAAACUCUCAUCAUACAGGAACUCAUCAUGUGUUAUUUUAAAGAUAUUUUUUUUAAAAGAUAAAAUUUUCCAGAAUUCUAGCAUCUCUAGGAACAGAUCAACAGCAGCUCAACCUUCCCAUAUCGUAUCCGUUAACAACUUAGAAUUCAGAUCAAGUUUUCAUCCCACAAGUUUAGGUCUAGAGCAAGCCUCAAAUUAUAACAGUUAUAUCUAAACUUGAGAGAGAACUUCAAAUUUGCAAAUUAGGCAGAGCAACUAUUCAUCAUAUCCAUGCUUAAGUUUUAUUAGAUACAGAUUAGCAUAGCCACUUUAUUUAUUUAUUAAACACACUAAGCAAAAUAUAUAUAAGCAUAAAAUCUUUAUUUGGUUUUUCAUAGUUAUGUGUAUUUAUAUUCUAAUAUAGUAUAAGUA
RNAcentral lists this long non-coding RNA (6518 nucleotides) under Sorghum bicolor (sorghum). RNAcentral describes it as "long non-coding RNA (SBIC_LNC006254)". The stretch from base 2871 to 2977 matches the Rfam family "Plant small nucleolar RNA R71". Lineage: Eukaryota; Viridiplantae; Streptophyta; Magnoliopsida; Poales; Poaceae. The record is from RNAcentral.